RNAcentral lists this ribosomal RNA (835 nucleotides) under Raffaelea subfusca. RNAcentral describes it as "eukaryotic LSU rRNA". The stretch from base 298 to 835 matches the Rfam family "Eukaryotic large subunit ribosomal RNA", at positions 1 to 541 of the family's 3401-position model. The record is from RNAcentral. Lineage: Eukaryota; Fungi; Ascomycota; Sordariomycetes; Ophiostomatales; Ophiostomataceae.
UUGAACGCACAUUGCGCCCGCCAGCACUCUGGCGGGCAUGCCUGUCCGAGCGUCACUCCCACCCCUCCAGCCGCGCUGCCCCGGCGCGCGGGCUGGUUGUUGGGGCGCCCUGCCGGCCCUCUCCGGAGGGCCGCGCAGCCCCCGAAAGACAGUGGCGGGCCCUCCCACCGGCUCCUAGCGAAGCAGAAACAGCACUCGCUCAGGACGCGCCGCGGGACGUCGCCCAGCCGUGAAAGCCUGGCCGCGCCAAACCCUGGCGCGCCACAGGGGGGGAGGUCCUCCUCCCCCCUCCACGGUGGACCUCGGAUCAGGUAGGACUACCCGCUGAACUUAAGCAUAUCAAUAAGCGGAGGAAAAGAAACCAACAGGGAUUGCCUCAGUAACGGCGAGUGAAGCGGCAACAGCUCAAAUUUGAAAUCUGGCCCCCCUCGGGGGCCCGAGUUGUAAUUUGGAGAGGAUGCUUUGGGCGCGGCGCCUUCCGAGUUCCUUGGAACAGGACGCCAGAGAGGGUGAGAGCCCCGUACGGUUGGACGCCUAGCCCGUGUAAAGCUCCUUCGACGAGUCGAGUAGUUUGGGAAUGCUGCUCAAAAUGGGAGGUAAAUUUCUUCUAAAGCUAAAUACUGGCCAGAGACCGAUAGCGCACAAGUAGAGUGAUCGAAAGAUGAAAAGCACUUUGAAAAGAGGGUUAAACAGCACGUGAAAUUGUUGAAAGGGAAGCGCCUGUGGCCAGACUUGCUGCCCGCGGUUCACCUGGCGCCCCCGCGCCAGGGCACGCCGCGGGUCUGCAGGCCAGCAUCGGCUUCCCCAGGGGGAUAAAGGCCGCGGGAACGUAGCU